This 936-nucleotide ribosomal RNA is filed under the name uncultured Bacteriovorax sp. RNAcentral describes it as "bacterial SSU rRNA". It matches the Rfam family "Bacterial small subunit ribosomal RNA", at positions 571 to 1499 of the family's 1533-position model. Lineage: Bacteria; Pseudomonadati; Bdellovibrionota; Bacteriovoracia; Bacteriovoracales; Bacteriovoracaceae. The record is from RNAcentral.
GUAGGGCGGAUAGUUAAGCCAGAUGUGAAAUNCCCAGGGNCCCAACCCCGGGAANUGCGUCUGGAAACUGAUUAUCUAGAAUCACGGAGAGGGAAGGGGAAUUUCGCAUGUAGGGGUAAAAUCCGUAGAGAUGCGAAGGAACACCAGAGGCGAAGGCGCCUUCCUGGACGUGUAUUGACGCUAAGGCGCGAAAGCGUGGGUAGCAAACAGGAUUAGAUACCCUGGUAGUCCACGCCGUAAACGAUGAGCACUAGAUAUUGGGAUGAGACCGUUUCAGUAUCGUAGCUAACGCAUUAAGUGCUCCGCCUGGGGAGUACGGUCGCAAGACUAAAACUCAAAGGAAUUGACGGGGGCCCGCACAAGCGGUGGAUUAUGUGGUUUAAUUCGAAGCAACGCGCAGAACCUUACCUAGGCUUAAACUCCUGAGAAUUCCGAGUAAUGUUGGAAGUGCCCUUCGGGGAAUUCAGUGAGAGGCGCUGCAUGGCUGUCGUCAGCUCGUGUCGUGAGAUGUUGGGUUAAGUCUCGCAACGAGCGCAACCCCUAUUUUUAGUUGCCAGCAUUAAGUUGGGCACUCUAGAGAGACUGCCCGGGCCAACCGGGAGGAAGGUGGGGAUGACGUCAAGUCCUCAUGGCCCUUAUGUCUAGGGCUACACACGUAAUACAAUGGUUAAUACAAAGGGAUGCGAACUCGCGAGGGGGAGCAAAUCUCAAAAAGUUAAUCUCAGUCCGGAUUGGAGUCUGCAACUCGACUCCAUGAAGUUGGAAUCGCUAGUAAUCGUGGAUCAGCACGCCACGGUGAAUACGUUCCCGGGCCUUGUACACACCGCCCGUCACACCAUGGGAGUUGGUUUUACCUGAAGUCGUGACCCUAACCGCUUGCGGAGGGGAGCGCCUACGGUCGAACCGAUGANCUGGGGUGAAGUCGUAACAAGGUAA